RNAcentral lists this long non-coding RNA (228 nucleotides) under Apteryx owenii (little spotted kiwi). RNAcentral's name for it is "lncRNA (ENSAOWG00000006325.1)". Lineage: Eukaryota; Metazoa; Chordata; Aves; Apterygiformes; Apterygidae. The record is from RNAcentral.
CUUGGUGACGGGUUACAGAACUGCACGGACCUUUGCUAUCUCUUGUUAUGUCGGUUCUUGGGCUCCUAGAAGAUAACGCAAUCGAAGCAGAGAAUUCUGGAGAAACUUCUUCAACAGAGAAGAUUUUCUUCUGAGAAGUGUCUUGUGAUGCACCUGUCAAGAGAUUGCAGCAGAAAUUGGCCUUAUUAUAAAGAGGAGAUGAGUCUCUCUGCGUAUGAGGAAUAAAGC